GAAGGAUCCAUUUUGGUAUAAAAAUGGUGCUCUGAGCGGCUGUUAACACAUUUGAUUUGAAAGUUUCGUCGAAAAGAAAUCUAAUAACUGUAGCAGAAAAUUUGAACAACCUAAGGUUUAGAGAAAGCAAUGUAAAGCAUUUCUUUAAAAUGAUAACACAACUUAAAGAAAUCAAAAACUUUUCCAAUAUAACAUUAGCCAUAGCCAUGCUUACAUCAAUUACAGAUAACUUUUCAUUUUUCCAAAAACUGGUUAUGAUGUUGGAUGCCAUUUCUUUUAACAAUAAGUUGUAACUGCAUGAAUCCCAAUUAUAAGCACACUAAACUUCUAAGUGUAUUCUAAGUCAUACACCAUAUAUAUAACAAAUUUGUGAAGAAAAUUGAUUAAAAAUAAUUUAACUCAUCUGUACUCUGUAGGUCCUAUGUAUUGCACUAGGACUGAAGACAAACACUGCACUUGGACUGAAGACAAACACUGCACUUGGACUGAAGACAAACACUGCACUUGGACUGAAGACAAACACUGCACUUGGACUGAAGACAAACACUGCACUAGGACUGAAGACAAACACUGCACUAGGACUGAAGACAAACACUGCACUAGGACUGAAGACAAACACUGCACUAGGACUGAAGACAAACACUGCACUUGGACUGAAGACAAACACUACACGUAGACUAAAGACUUUAGACAUAAUAUCCAAGUUAAAUGGGACUAGGGACCACUGGAACUAGCUCCCUCAAAAACAGAUUCAUUAUUGACCUCUAUAUUGAUGUGUUAUGAUGAAAUCAUGCUUUUGAUAGUUGCAUUGAUAAAUAAUCGUGCAUUAAAACAUUGGAUUGACUUUGACCCAAGACUUAUUAUAGUUUCUCCAGAGUAUAAAUGAGUUUGCCAAUUUGAAGUGUUUAGAAGAAAAGUGUUUAGAAUUUUAAUAUUUACCAAUUUGUGAAAUUUGAUAGUAUGGCUAAUGGCUGG
Mytilus trossulus (common blue mussel) is the source of this 975-nucleotide long non-coding RNA. RefSeq lists it as uncharacterized. The record is from RefSeq and is a predicted model, not a curated record. Lineage: Eukaryota; Metazoa; Mollusca; Bivalvia; Mytilida; Mytilidae. The transcript is spliced from 3 exons.